GACGAACGCUGGCGGCGUGCUUAACACAUGCAAGUCGAACGGAAAGGCCCUGCUUUUGUGGGGUGCUCGAGUGGCGAACGGGUGAGUAACACGUGAGUAACCUGCCCUUGACUUUGGGAUAACUUCAGGAAACUGGGGCUAAUACCGGAUAGGAGCUCCUGCUGCAUGGUGGGGGUUGGAAAGUUUCGGCGGUUGGGGAUGGACUCGCGGCUUAUCAGCUUGUUGGUGGGGUAGUGGCUUACCAAGGCUUUGACGGGUAGCCGGCCUGAGAGGGUGACCGGCCACAUUGGGACUGAGAUACGGCCCAGACUCCUACGGGAGGCAGCAGUGGGGAAUAUUGCACAAUGGGCGGAAGCCUGAUGCAGCAACGCCGCGUGCGGGAUGACGGCUUUUGGGUUGUAAACCGCUUUCGCCUGUGACGAAGCGUGAGUGACGGUAAUGGGUAAAGAAGCACCGGCUAACUACGUG
Molecule: ribosomal RNA, 468 nt
Filed under: uncultured bacterium
Lineage: Bacteria
Description: partial 16S ribosomal RNA
Rfam family: Bacterial small subunit ribosomal RNA
Source: RNAcentral